UACUCUAGUGGCGAACGGGUGAGUAACACGUGGGUGAUCUGCCCUGCACUUCGGGAUAAGCUUUGGAAACUGGGUCUAAUACCGGAUAGGAACCAUCUUUAGUGUGGUGGUUGGAAAGUUUUUUCGGUGUAGGAUGAGCUCGCGGCCUAUCAGCUUGUUGGUGGGGUAAUGGCCUACCAAGGCGGCGACGGGUAGCCGGCCUGAGAGGGUGUACGGCCACAUUGGGACUGAGAUACGGCCCAG
This 243-nucleotide ribosomal RNA is filed under the name uncultured Actinomycetales bacterium. RNAcentral's name for it is "partial 16S ribosomal RNA". It matches the Rfam family "Bacterial small subunit ribosomal RNA", at positions 88 to 334 of the family's 1533-position model. Lineage: Bacteria; Bacillati; Actinomycetota; Actinomycetes; Actinomycetales. The record is from RNAcentral.